AGCGAACGCUGGCGGCAGGCUUAACACAUGCAAGUCGAGCGCCGUAGCAAUACGGAGCGGCAGACGGGUGAGUAACACGUGGGAACGUACCUUUUGGUUCGGAACAACACAGGGAAACUUGUGCUAAUACCGGAUAAGCCCUUACGGGAAAGAUUUAUCGCCGGAAGAUCGGCCCGCGUCUGAUUAGCUAGUUGGUGAGGUAACGGCUCACCAAGGCGACGAUCAGUAGCUGGUCUGAGAGGAUGAUCAGCCACACUGGGACUGAGACACGGCCCAGACUCCUACGGGAGGCAGCAGUGGGGAAGUAUUGGUACAAUGGGCGCAAGCCUGAUCCAGCCAUGCCGCGUGAGUGAUGAAGGCCCUAGGGUUGUAAAGCUCUUUUGUGCGGGAAGAUAAUGACUGUACCGCAAGAAUAAGCCCCGGCUAACUUCGUGCCAGCCGCCGCGGUAAC
RNAcentral lists this ribosomal RNA (451 nucleotides) under uncultured bacterium. RNAcentral's name for it is "bacterial SSU rRNA". It matches the Rfam family "Bacterial small subunit ribosomal RNA", at positions 29 to 524 of the family's 1533-position model. The record is from RNAcentral.